GAUGAACGCUGGCGGCGGGCCUAAUACAUGCAAGUCGAGCGAACAGACGAGGGUCUUUUUCCUCUGACGUUAGCGGCGGACGGGUGGGUAACAAAUGGAUAACCUACCUAUAAUACUCGGAUAACUACCGGAAACCGGAGCUAAUACCUGCUAAUAGAUGUAACUGCACGGUUCAAUAUUUAAACACGGUUUUGCUGUCACUUAUAGAUGGAUCCGCGCCGCAUUAGCUAGUUGGUAAGGUAACGGCUUACCAAGGCAACGAGGCGUAGCCGACCUGAGAGGGUGAUCAGCCACCCUGGAACGGAGACACGGUCCAGACUCCUACGGGAGGCAGCAGAAGGGAAUCUUCCACAAUGGGCGAAGGCCUGACGGAGCAACGCCGCGUGGGUGAUGAGGGGCUUCGGAUCGUAAAACUCUGUUGUUAGGGAAGAACAAAUGUGUAAGUAACUAUGCACGUCUUGACGGUACCUAAUCAGAAAGCCACGGCUAACUACGUG
RNAcentral lists this ribosomal RNA (497 nucleotides) under uncultured bacterium. RNAcentral describes it as "partial 16S ribosomal RNA". It matches the Rfam family "Bacterial small subunit ribosomal RNA", at positions 28 to 507 of the family's 1533-position model. The record is from RNAcentral.